This is a long non-coding RNA of Capsicum annuum, 1223 nucleotides long. RefSeq lists it as uncharacterized. The transcript has 2 exons. NCBI's taxonomy places the organism in Eukaryota, Viridiplantae, Streptophyta, Magnoliopsida, Solanales, Solanaceae. The record is from RefSeq and is a predicted model, not a curated record.
UAAAGGUCAUGGGAUCGAGCUUUGGAAACAGCAAAAAUGUAGGGUAAAACUGUAUGCAAUAGUUCCUUGGUCUGAUCCUUACCGUACCUCGCACAUAACAGGAACUUAAUGCACAAGCCAGCCCUUAUCCUUCCACAGGUUCCACGUGCAAGGUCCUAAUUAUCCCAUUUUAUUGUUCUCUUGAUAUGAAGUCUUUUCACUUCCUAUUUUAAUUUAUGUACUUAUUGUUGUACUUCACCAAAUAAAUUCCAUGAAGAAAUUCGUCACUUCAGCAAAUAAAUUUCCUUGAAGAAAUUUGUCAAGUUCUAUAUAUUUCUGUUUUACGCAGUGAUAUAGUCUGGUUCUGUGUCUUCAUUUCGCCAUAACCAAACUAGACAAUUGCACCUUGUUCUACUUAUCACAUUAGAAUUACACUUCUAUCUCGUCAACACCCUGCUAAUUUCAGGCUAUGGGAAGAAUUACGUCGGAGCCCCUAAACUGUGAGCUUCUACACUUGAACAUUUUUAUUUUAUGGGUGACUUGAACCUUCAACUUUUGAAUGGAAUAUAAUUGGCUCUUUCGGCUGUUUUACCGCACUGACCACAUCCAUCAGGUUCUUGAUCAAUAGGAGUAAAUUGAUGAGCACCGGGCCGGAAAUCUAAGUUGCGGAGACACUUCACUUUUGGCGCCACACAUGCGUCGACAAGACCUAGGUGUGUGUGUGACAUCCAUACCUAAUAUGGUCGAACAAUUUUGGGUACUUUGAUCAAAAUCGAUAGAAAAAUUCGAGACAGAUGCAAUGAUUUCUGAUUCGAACUUAACAGUAAACAAUGAAAAGAUAAUUGAAGAUUUGAACUUGCUCCCAAAAGAUUGUGCAUUCCUUUCAUUUCAAAUAUUCCACCAUAAUUUAGGCAUAUUUUUAUCUCUUAUUUUUUGAUAUUUGAAUGAUUUUUAGCUGAAUUCCCACUCCCAUAUCCUUACUUAAAUCCGAACCACCAAAUUAUAGAAGGAUUCGCACCUGAGUUCGAGCAACUUGGCAGGGAAGGAAAAAAAGAUGAUGUCUUGGUAGUUCUAUGCUGCACCUUGAAAACGAUCUCUUCUGAUUAUUUUGGAUCUGGUUGUUUCAUGAAACCGAAAAAUUAACAACCAUCCUAAUGACCUCCUUUCUGUCUGCUUUCUUCUUGACAUGUGAUUACUUUUUAUAUGAAGAACAGCUGAUAAAAUAUUUGAAAUCAUGUUUAGCA